UUCAUCCAGCACUGUUUCAGAGAAAUCUCUAUUUCAAUAUAUUCCUAUAUGUUAGUUAUUGAAAAACAACAGGCAAUCGCAAAAACAAGUUGAUCUUUUUGUGUUGCUGAAGACCAGUCAUGAAGGGCUCUCAUGACUGGGCCUCAUGCCAAACAACUCAUUACGAAAAGAGCUAGGGGUCCAGACCAUGCCGAAGCUUCAUGAGACCUCUCCUUAUCUGUUCACGGACGAGUGGCCGACACUGGAGCCCAGGCCGAUGCUUCCCAGUCUGGUCAUGAAUCCUCCUUAGUCUGAGUCAGACCUGAGGACCCAGCCAGCUUCAGGUGCAGCGGAUAUGUGGCAUCCAGCACAAGCCUUCCCUGCAGCCGUCAGUGCUGCUGUUUUCCAGAUGUGCGCCCAUUCACUGCGUGCCAGUGCUGCUGCUGCAAAUUUGGAAGUUUACACGUGCAUCACGAAGUAAAAAUGACUAGGAAACUCCAACACAAGCCAUUACAUAAAAGCUGA
This 504-nucleotide long non-coding RNA is filed under the name Pan troglodytes (chimpanzee). RNAcentral describes it as "long non-coding RNA NONPTRT001438". Lineage: Eukaryota; Metazoa; Chordata; Mammalia; Primates; Hominidae. The record is from RNAcentral.